RNAcentral lists this unclassified non-coding RNA (214 nucleotides) under plant metagenome. RNAcentral's name for it is "partial contains small subunit ribosomal RNA and internal transcribed spacer 1". The record is from RNAcentral.
AAGUCGUAACAAGGUUUCUAUAGGUAAACCUGUAGAAGAAUUAUUACCUUUCUAGCUAUUUAAUAGCUUGUCUAGGGGCUGUAGUUUCUAUAGUCUUUAACUAUAUUCGUGUUUUUUGUGUAAUACAUGUUUUCUUAGCAAGCUUGCUUGCUAGUUAGAUAAACUAAAACUCUUUAUAAUUGCAAUUAGCGUCUAAAUUAUAUAAUAAUUACAA